Molecule: ribosomal RNA, 448 nt
Filed under: uncultured bacterium
Lineage: Bacteria
Description: SSU rRNA
Rfam family: Bacterial small subunit ribosomal RNA
Source: RNAcentral
AGAACGAACGCUGGCGGCAGGCCUCAAACAUGCAAGUCUAGGGGGUGUAGCAAUACAUCACCGGCGGACGGGUGCGUAACACGUGGGAAUAUACCUUUGGUUCGGAACAACGCAGGGAAACUUGCGCUAAUACCGAAUGUGCCCUUACGGGGAAAGAUUUAUCGCCAAAGGAUUAGCCCGCGUAGGAUUAGCUAGUUGGUGAGGUAAUGGCUCACCAAGGCUCCGAUCCUUAGCUGUUCUGAGAGGAAGAUCAGCCACACUGGGACUGAGACACGGCCCAGACUCCUACGGGAGGCAGCAGUGGGGAAUCUUGCGCAAUGCGCGAAAGCGUGACGCAGCAACGCCGCGUGCAGGAAGACACUUUUCGGAGCGUAAACUGCUUUUCUCGGGGACGAGUAAGGACGGUACCCGAGGAAUCAGCCCCGGCUAACUACGUGCCAGCAGCCGC